RNAcentral lists this ribosomal RNA (351 nucleotides) under uncultured bacterium. RNAcentral's name for it is "bacterial SSU rRNA". It matches the Rfam family "Bacterial small subunit ribosomal RNA", at positions 8 to 350 of the family's 1533-position model. The record is from RNAcentral.
AGAGUUUGAUCCUGGCUCAGGAUGAACGCUAGCUACAGGCUUAACACAUGCAAGUCGAGGGGAAACGACAUCGAAAGCUUGCUUUUGAUGGGCGUCGACCGGCGCACGGGUGAGUAACGCGUAUCCAACCUGCCCAUCACUUGGGGAUAACCUUGCGAAAGUAAGACUAAUACCCAAUGACGUCUCUAGAAGACAUCUGAAAAGAGAUUAAAAGAUUUAUCGGUGAUGGAUGGGGAUGCGUCUGAUUAGCUUGUUGGCGGGGUAACGCCACAAGGCGACGAUCAGUAGGGGUCUGAGAGGAAGGUCCCCCANAUUGGAACUGAGACACGGUCCAAACUCCUACGGGAGGCA